This 874-nucleotide ribosomal RNA is filed under the name uncultured bacterium. Its description in RNAcentral is "bacterial SSU rRNA". It matches the Rfam family "Bacterial small subunit ribosomal RNA", at positions 89 to 941 of the family's 1533-position model. The record is from RNAcentral.
AGUAGAGUGGCGCACGGGUGAGUAACACGUAGGUAAUCUACCUUCGGGUGGGGAAUAACAACCGGAAACGGUUGCUAAUACCGCAUAAUGCAGCGGCACCUAAUGGUGACAGUUGUUAAAGCGGGGGAUCGCAAGACCUCGCGCCUGAAGAGGAGCCUGCGGCGGAUUAGCUAGUUGGUAGGGUAACGGCCUACCAAGGCUACGAUCCGUAGCCGGCCUGAGAGGGCGGUCGGCCACACUGACACUGACAUACGGGUCAGACUCCUACGGGAGGCAGCAGUCGGGAAUUUUGGGCAAUGGGCGAAAGCCUGACCCAGCAACGCCGCGUGAAGGAUGAAAUCCUUCGGGAUGUAAACUUCGCAAGAACGGGGAGAAUAAGCCGGUGUUAACAUCACCGGCGAUGACGGUACCGUUUGUAAGCUCCGGCUAACUCCGUGCCAGCAGCCGCGGUAAUACGGGGGGAGCAAGCGUUGUUCGGAUUUACUGGGCGUAAAGGGCGCGUAGGCGGCCACCGCAAGUCAAUUGUGAAAUCUCCGGGCUUAACUCGGAAAGGUCAACUGAUACUGCGGGGCUAGAGUGCGGAAGGGGCAACUGGAAUUCUCGGUGUAGCGGUGAAAUGCGUAGAUAUCGAGAGGAACACCUGCGCCGAAGGCGGGUUGCUGGGCCGACACUGACGCUGAGGCGCGAAAGCUAGGGGAGCGAACGGGAUUAGAUACCCCGGUAGUCCUAGCCUUAAACGAUGAAUGCUUGGUGUCUGGGGUUAUAAAGUCCCCGGGUGCCGUCGCUAACGCUUUAAGCAUUCCGCCUGGGGAGUACGGUCGCAAGACUGAAACUCAAAGGAAUUGACGGGGACCCGCACAAGCGGUGGAGCAUG